GGAAGGGUGGCCGAGCGGUCUAAGGCGUGCGCCUGGAAAGUGCAUAUACUUGCGAGAGUAUCAAGGGUUCGAAUCCCUUUCCUUCCUCCA
This 90-nucleotide transfer RNA is filed under the name Rickettsiales endosymbiont of Peranema trichophorum. RNAcentral describes it as "tRNA-Ser". It matches the Rfam family "tRNA". Rfam says of the family: Transfer RNA (tRNA) molecules are approximately 80 nucleotides in length. Their secondary structure includes four short double-helical elements and three loops (D, anti-codon, and T loops). The record is from RNAcentral. Lineage: Bacteria; Pseudomonadati; Pseudomonadota; Alphaproteobacteria; Rickettsiales.